UACGUAGGGUGCGAGCGUUACUCGGAAUUACUGGGCGUAAAGCGUGCGUAGGCGGUUCGUUAAGUCAGCUGUGAAAGCCCCGGGCUCAACCUGGGAACUGCGGUUGAAACUGGCGAACUAGAAUCUGGCAGAGGGGGGUGGAAUUCCACGUGUAGCAGUGAAAUGCGUAGAGAUGUGGAGGAACACCGAUGGCGAAGGCAGCCCCCUGGGCUGAGAUUGACGCUCAGGCACGAAAGCGUGGGGAGCAAACAGG
This 253-nucleotide ribosomal RNA is filed under the name uncultured bacterium. RNAcentral's name for it is "partial 16S ribosomal RNA". It matches the Rfam family "Bacterial small subunit ribosomal RNA", at positions 524 to 776 of the family's 1533-position model. The record is from RNAcentral.